Long non-coding RNA from Equus caballus (horse), 11755 nucleotides. RefSeq lists it as uncharacterized. The record is from RefSeq and is a predicted model, not a curated record. NCBI's taxonomy places the organism in Eukaryota, Metazoa, Chordata, Mammalia, Perissodactyla, Equidae.
AAGGAUUGGGAUGUGUGCAGCUGGGGAGAGGGAGCAGUCACCUGUAAGGAUCUGAAUGGCUAGUAACCAUCAUCUGGUGAUGCUACCCAAUGGCUUUCCUUGCGGUCAAGAUUGGGUGCCUCUUCAGUUUCUCAGUAUCCAAGUCUGUUCCAGAUAGAGGAGCAUUUUCUGGACCCGGUAUAAAGUCCCGAGAGUCCUUGAUUUCCCUGGUAUCAUCUCAGACCAAGUGGGCAUGAAUGACCACUGAAACAAAACUGAGCUGGUAGAUUCCACCUCACAGUGCAUUGGAAUCAUCGCGCAGCUGGAAGGACAGCCCAAUCUGUGCACCGCAUGCCUACCUUAGAGACGAUCUCCAUCUUCUAACGUGAUUUAUCAGUCCCCUUGGUAAUGCAGAUCAUUCAUUGCCACCUGCUCAAGAAACUCAGAGGUCAUAAAAUGUUGAAAAUCUAGAUUCCUGUGGAAGAAACUUACGGAGGGGGAAGACAAGGGGCUAUUCAACUGCCUAGGCCUUGAUAGUUUAGCCCAGCAUCAGAUGUUACCUUUCAUAUGGGUCCUUAGAGAAAGGGACCCUUCCUGGUCCCUGGGUCAUUGGUGCUGGUGCUUCCUAGUUUGGCUGUGCAGCUACAACAGACGACAUGCAACACCAGGUAUUUUCCACUCAAGGAACUUGGAAGUAGAAGGCAGAGCUCACAGAGGAAGUGUGUUGAAGAAUAUUGCAACCCAGGGAUGCUGUUCUUCAAUAGAAAUCCUAGGACAAUGUGUCAGCAAAGUGAGACAGAGAAGACCUCACAUUAUAUGCUACAAAUGUUCUCUAAAAUAGAAACAAGAUUCCAGCUCUCCAUGUUCUACCAUGAAGGUCAUAUGCUCCUUACCCAGAGAAGUCUGGUUUCUAAAAAUAAGAGAUAAGGUGCUGCUCUUAGGGACAGCUUCUAGUAGCACAAAAUGCUCUGGGCUCUGGAGUCAGAGAUAACUAAAUUCAAAUUAUUACUAUGCUUAUGCUACAUUCUAUCUCUGAUUUUGGACUGCUAAAUCAAUUAAUCAAUCUCUGUGAGUCUCUCUCUUCUCCUCUGUAACAUUAGUAGAACGAUAACCUGGAGGGUAGUUAUGAGGAGAAAAGUAGCUAAUAUAGAUUAAAGAUCCCUUCUAUAGUGCCUGUCUUUUGUAGUAGGCACUAAAUAAAUGUUAAUUCUCCACCUUCCUAAACAAGUCGCUUUUCCUUUUCCUUUUAAAAUUAAAGUUUCUGCUUUAAUUAUAACUUGGAGACUUUCUGGAUCUAAAAUCAAGCAAGAGUAUAACCCUUCUGUCAUCAGUCUCAUUCCCAGAGUGCCAUGCUUUUCCCAGCGUGUCUAACUCUAGUAGAGAUCUGAAGUUAGGACAGUCUCCCAAGGAGAGAUUAAACACUGCAUUCAUUAUGGCAGCUGGAAGGCUGCAUUAUUGCUCUUCCAAGGGGAGAGCUUCAUGGCUGUACUUAAUGAAUGCUAAUAGUUUUCUUAUCAGUGGGUAGCAAUACAAACAUUUUUGUGUAUGGUAAGGUUAAAGUAAACCUUCAGAGUAGCUUUACAAAACUUGAAAGCUACUGAUUAGUUCUUGACAAGCCUGGCUAAUAACAGGAGCUCCAGGAAGGCUAUAUAGGUCUUGCUUAGCCAGAAUACAUUAUUCUUCAGUGUUUUAUGAUUUCGCAUCUGUCCUCUCAGAGCGGGGCUGUCACACAAAUGCAUGCAGCCUUUGUGCUUUUCUUAAACCUCAAGGCAGUUGUACUCUAACCAAUGUAAUCUGGUUGCCAAGUGACGAAACACCAGAAAGCUUUCCUAAUCAGCAGAAAAAAUGUUCACAUACUUAAUUUUGCUUUGCAAAUAGAUUCAGAUUCAACUAACAUUUACCAGGCACCUAUUAUUUAGGGAAAACAUUGUUAGACUCAUUCACGUAUAUAUGCCAGUAUCCCUUUAAGAUUUGGCUUCUGAGGAAACUGGAACUUGGAGAGGAUGUAUGAGUCGCCCAAGGUCAUUUUGUCAAACUUCUAGCUGACUCCAAGUCCAAUGCACUCAACCCAGGCUGUUCACAGUGCAUUUUAAGGGCCAUCAGCCUGCUCCUUCAAGACAUCUAUGAGUGGGACAUGGUAAACUGAGGCUGGGGAGCUCAAAUUUAAACAGUUCCAAGAGAUGAUACUUCCUAAGAGCCUAUAUUCUUCAGAUUUUGUAAAGAUGAAGGCAUACAUGUCUCAAAGCUAAAAAUGAGUUUUUUAUAUAGAUAAACAAUAAAGUCAUAUCAAACAAUUUAUAUAAAUUGUAUACUGAAAUAGAUUUUAAAUAAUGUUCUCUAAUGUGCAGUUAUAAUAAUAACAGCUCAACAAAAUAAUUACACCUAAUAGCCUUGGUCUUCCACAGUCUCUUUGACACCUCCUAUGGGGGUUAUGAUUCAACCUGAUAAAAGUUAGAUAAUUCAUGUCAAAAAGCCCAUUACUCCAAAAAUCACCGAGCUAAUUCACUCCAAAUUUUGUAGCUUUUUUCAUCUCCUCUUUCAAGAAAGAAAUUAAUAGGGGAAAAAAUACUACUGGUGUGAAAAAUCUUAGCUUCAGUUUCAAAAAGUGUUUCUACCUCUAGAAAUUGAAUAACUUUGGCGAAGUUACUCAGUUUCUCUGAAAUAGUUCCUUUAUUUUUCAAGUUUGAACGAUGGCAUCUACUUCCUAAGGAUGUAUUCUGCAAAAACAUUGGUCAAAUUUCAGUUUAUGGCCUGGAAAACAUCUGCCAACACCACACAAUUAAUGAUUUUUCUUUUCUGUGGAGGGACAAAUGAAAUUAACAAAUCAUGACUGAUUUCUAUUAUGUUAAAGUGAGUCACACCAAGACCUCAGCGUGGCUUUCCCAGAAGAUAAAUUCCACACUUUGCAACAAGUGGAACAUGCAGUUCCUGCAUAGUGCUUAAUGUUGUUUCUUUGUAAUCAAGGGCUCCGCCAGCUGACUGCCCUGAGAUAAAGGGGAAGAAGUCAUGAAGGAGCCCUGAGGCUGCCAAUCAUUUCUGUACCCAGGCAGAUAAUAAUAGAAGUCAGGAUAUCUCAUGGAGGAGCAGUCCCCUAGUUUGGACAAAGCUCAAUGUCUGUACCCGCCCCGCCCCCACCAAAAAAAGUGGAUGGCCUGGAAGUGCUUGGAUGUUUGAUAGAGAACAAUCUCACAAGCAGAGGGACUGAAAUCAAUGUAAAAUCUAUGUAAAAUCUAAAUGUUGUUUAAUCCUAUUUUGUGCAGACAACAAAGAAUCACAAGAAAAACACUUUGUUUCAACUCUUAGAGUCCCAAAAUGUCUGCCUUAUUGCUUGUUUUAGAACACCAAGAAUACAAGAAUCAUCCGGAAUUAUGGCGUAAACUGAAAACAGAAGUAACGUGCGCACCUCCUAACUUAGUGAAGGCCGAUAAUUAGGCAUUAAGGUAAAGGUAGUUGCUUUCUACUAAUAUGGAGGUGAGUGAACCCUUCUCAGGAUAGAUAGGUACCAUCUAACUGGCCAGUCAUUCUAGUUAAAAGGGGCUCUCACUAUGUCACUAAGUCCUUAGCAGGAAGGGAGUUGAGCUUGCUGUAAGCUAGCCUAGAGCCAGCCCUAGUGGUUAAGAUUCAGCAUGCUUACCCCUGUGACCCAGGUUUCUUUCCUGAUCAGGUAACCACACUGCCUGUCUGUUGGUUGUCAAACUCUGGUGGCUGUGUGUUGCUGUGAUGCUGAAAACUAUGCCACUGGUAUUUCAAAUACCAGUAGGAUCACCUGUGGUGGACUGGUUUCAGCAGAGAUUCCAGACUAAGACAGACUAGGAAGAAAGAGUUGGUCACCCACUUUUGCCAUGAAAACCAUAUGAAAAGCAGUGGAGCAUUGGCUGAUACAGUCAGAAGAUGAGAGGAUGGUGCAAAAAGACCAGGCAGGGUUCAGCUUUGCUGUACACAUGGUCACUAGGAGUGAGAAUCAAUUCGACAGCACCUUCAAAACCUAGCCCAGAGGACGCACCACCAACUGCAACAUGAUCUGGGUGGAUCUAUUAAAGAGCUGGAAUUUGUAGGGUGAAGACCUGCUGAAAUUGCAUUUAUCCUUGUGACCACUAGGCGUCUCUGCCAUGAACUCAGUAACCUCUAAAGUCAAAAGCACGUUCAAAAGCACCUCAACUAUCUCAGAGGUCAACACGGGCUCGAAAGGACCUGACUGGACUGUCUGACUUAACUAAUUCAUUCUUUUAUCUCUAUUCUUUCUAAGGCAUUCAAGCAUAGGGGCAUAGUUUUUCAUGACCACGUGCAAAGAUCAUCAAUGCAGCAGAACAUACAUCCACAGACAAAACAUUACCUUGGAGAAUGCCAGCAGUCGUCAACAGCUGCCUCCAAGUGACUUUGCCACUUUAAAUAGCUCCCUCGCCUUCUUUGUGCUGUUGUUAGAGGCAGUUUGGUUAAAUUCAUAGGAUAGUGAGGCUUCCAAGAAUAUAAUCUGCCCUGCAAACCAAUAGAUUUAGAAGAAACGAAACUUCUGCUGGUAGAUGACAGAGUCAGGGUGUCAACUCAAUCCAUUAGAAAAAGUUUGUGUUUUGAAGUCCUUCCAUUCUACUUAAAAGAUAUGGAGUUGUCAUAUCCUGAACUCAACUCCACUCACGAUCUUUUCUCUCUUAAUGAAUCAACCACUGUAUUAUUCUUAGAGGUGGAGUCAUUUUGGAAGUGGAAGAAAAUUAUCCUUGUACGUGUCAAAGUUUGUCAAAUAUCUCAAAAUCUCUGGGAAUGAGGAUGGCAGACAUUAAAUUUAAGACAAAUAUAGAAACUUGACAAUAAUGCCUCUUGAGUGGCGAAUCUUUCACCUUCAUAAUCUGCCAAAACUCAAAUUUUGGAGACCUGAAACCUGAGGACGUGACAAUGAAAAUAGACUUUACUUGCUGCAAGAGAAACUUCAGCUUCACCACCACCAUCUCACUACCAUCCUUAACUCCUCUUCUCUGCCCAACUUAACCCUCAAGAAAACAAACCCGGGUCAGCAGCAUAUGCUUGGGGUUAGAUUGCCCAAUUUGCUGAAGCCUCUGAGGUAGAAAUUGUGUCUAGAUUAGAAUCUCCACCCUCUGUUUUCUAUCUAACUGUCAAGGCGCUUCCUGUCUUUGUCCAGCAGUGCUCACAGAGCCCCUUUGAAGAGGACAACAUCCCGACGCUGCUGAGAGCAGAUAAACGCCUGUUGUUUUACCGGGCUGGGCGGGGGAGAGGGUGGAAACCUCUUUGCCGUGCACAAAGGCAGCCUGAUAAUAACAAAUUGCCUUGUCAACCACAAGAGAUACUUAGUUAUUAAUGGAAAUAAUAACAGAUUAUAUCAGCUUGUGCACUGUAAUCAAAAGGAAGAUCAAAGGGAGCUAAUAUUACGAACCGUUAGCGGUGGAGACAUGCUAAUGAGAUAAAAACCACUUUCAUUUCCCCCGUCCCAAACGCACCAGUAGAAUAAUCAUUGAUAAUAAAUAGCAUCAUUUAAACUUGGACAAUAUAUUUAAUACCCACAGUCCAGCCACACCAGUGUGGCUUUUUCCUAUUAGAUAAAAUUGUUUUCAAUGUUAAAAAAAUACUUAAUUUCAUUCCGCUGGUGUUAGAGGACUAGAUGAUUGCGAGCCAUCGAACUAAUCUCAGCUGCUUCAGGCUCAACUCCCCUUGCCUUUGGUUGUGAUUGCAAACAUUUGAGCAGAGAGCUAUUCCAGUUCUUAAUAAUCCAGCAAGGAUACAGAGCCUGACAAACCACUCUCUGAUUUGUCAUUAGGAGACUAUUGCUAUCGCAGUAGAGUACUUCUUGUAUUUCCCCAAUCUGCCCCACCAUUAAGUCAGCCCUCUGUUACUUUGAAGCACUUUACAAAUAUUAGGGUGUGCCAAGGCCAUUCUCAGGAGGUACACAGGUAUUUCUAUCACCUUUCCUCCUAUAAAGAAAAUGACAAAAGAGAUCACUGACCAUGAGUUAUUUUAUUCUUACAAAAUCUUGAUUUGAUUUUCCACAUUCAAAUUAUUAAAUUUGCCUUACUCCACAACAAACACAUAAUAUUUGGCUAAUAAUUUCUAUGCGUUACCAAGGAUACUUAAUAUUCCCAACUUUCUUUACAAAAAAUGAAGGUAAGAAUGACUAACAUAAGAGGAACAGAGCUGGCUAAGAACUCAUUCAGACAUAAAAUCUCAAAGUGCUGACAAUACACUGACUUUACCUUCCAAAAAAUAAAGAAACUGAAGCCCAGAGAGGUCAAAGGCAGAAGCCAUUGAUUUUAGCCCCUGGCUGCAUCAUUUGCUUACUUUAUGAACUUAGAAAUACAAUGAUUACAUUUAAUCUCAAAAAUCUUUGUUUUCUAAAUUUAAGGAUAAUAAUUCUUAUCCUUCUUUCAUCAGAGCAUAAAGACAGAUUAAAAGAUUUCCCUUUGUAAACUGUAAAACAUGCUGUGUGAAUAUGAAGUUAUGAUGCAAUAUUGUAUAUCAAUCAUAACAGUAAACAUGCUUCAAAAGUAGGGAUUGUUUUUACUUUCAAUAAAAAGUGGAGUAGAGAUCUUCUGCAGGAGAAAAACAGAAAUAUUCCAGAAGACAGAACGCAAAAGUGUUCUCAAGGAGGGAUGAAAUCAGAGUGGAGGGAAGGGACGUCAGCAGAAAACAAAAACAGAUGGCUGCAGGGGUGAGAGCUAUUCUUCCAGGCAGAGUUCCAGGGAUGCUCUGAGUUCUACCCUGGCAGGUGUGGGGAGCAUGACUGGGCUGUGGGUCAGAAAAACAUUAAUUAUAAAGAUUCCACUAUAUGAAAUAUUUGGACCAUUUCCCUACGUUUUCUCCUCCUUCCCCCUCAAUCUCUGUCCAUACAGUGAAACAAGCAACAAUCUACUUGCCCCAUAGAAUAAAGUAGACAUAUCAAAAGGAUGUGAAGGCCAAAGACAGAACAAUUUGAACAUUAAAAUAAUUAUUGAAACAGAUUAUAACAUAUUGAGUAAAGUAGGAAUGCAUGAGCUUGCACUGAUAUGAAUAAAUAAGGAAAUAAAUAAGGGAGAAAGUAAAAGUCUACCACACAGUAAAAUGUCAAAUAAUAUUAAUAAGUAAAAAUACUUACCAAUUAGCAUUAGAGUGAAAAAACCUUGCAGAUAACAUCUUAACCAUGUGAUAAAAUUAAUAUCACCAGUAAUGAGGCACAGUGUCCCUGAGAAUCUUCCAGUGGGGUCAACCAGCAGCCCUGUUGUGGUAUGCCUACCAAAGUUUUACAACCUGAAUCUGACCGUGAGGAGCUUCACACAAAUCUAGAUUGCAAGCUAUUCUGUGACGUAACUGCUCCGUACUAUUCCAAAGGGUCAAGGUCAUAGAAAACAAGCAAAAGACUGAAAGUAUUUUCCAAAGCGAAGGCUAUCAAAGAAAUUAGACAACAAACACACAGGAAUUUGGAUAGAAUCAUCAAUCUGUCAAAAAGAUUUUGAGGACAAACAGCAAAAUUUGAAUGGGUCUUUGAAUUAGAAGGUAGUAUUAUCUCAGUGUUGAUUUUCUGAUUUGAAUGAUAACACCAUGGCUUUCUAGGAGUGUAUCCUUCUUUUUAGGAAAUGCACACUGAAGCACCAAGAUGUAAUGAGGAUCCACACUGGCAACUUACUCCCAAAUGGUCAGGAAGGAGAAAGCAGCAAUAUGUAUGAAUAAAUAGAGUAAUAAGAGAAGUGUGUCAGUUUGUUAAUGCUGGUUGGUGUGCCUGGACUGAAUUGUGUCCCUCCGAAAUUCCUAUGUUGAAGCCCUCUCCCCCGGUACCUCCAAAUGCAGCUGUAUUUGGAGAUGGGACCUCUCAGAAAGUAAUUAAGAUUAACGAGGUCAGAUGGGUGAGCUCUAAUCCAAUCUCACUGGUGUCCUGAUGAGAGAAUGUAUGUUACUUAAAAAUAAUAUUGACAAUAUAUUCAAAAGAAAAAUAAUUAGUGUAUAGAGGUUAGCAAUCCAGAAUAAAAUCGCCUUAUAUUGGUAUUUGAGGUAAAUGUGGGGCACAACCAGCCUGCCUUCCCUGUGUCUACACACUCUAACACACCAGUCAACAUGGCCUGUCCCCAUUCAUGGAACAAUGAAGCACACAGCAGCAUCUACUUUAUGCAGAAAUAUACAUCUGUAAUUAUUAACUUCAGAUAUUUUCAAAAAUAUAUUAUAUCUGUAAAACAAGAACAGGCUACUACAGAAAAGGACCAAUGGAAAAAAAUAACAAAGUGUUGAAAAUGUGAAAUGUGAUUGCUUAAAUUAAAAACAAAAAAGUCAGUAGAAAGGCUGGAAGUUGAAGUAAAGAAAAAUCUCCAGGAUAUAGAGCUAAAAGGAGACCCAAAAGAAAAGAGAAGAUGGCAAAAAUGAAAUAAUAUUUAAGAUACACAGAGUCAGUGUAGGAUCUUCAAAGAGUUUGAGAAAAAGAGAGAAUGGGAGGGAGGGAGGGAGAGAGGGAGAGAGAGAAAGAGAAAGAGAAGGGGAAUAAUGAAGAGCAAAUGAAUGGAGGAAUGACGUUAAUCAAUGUAAAGGUAGAAUAUAAUUUCCUAGGCUGGAGAGAGACGUCAAUUUUUAAUCAUUUUAAUUGCUUUAAUUUUUAUGUUUGAGUAUUUUAAAAUAAGCUAUAGGCAUUCUGACAAACCACCACUAUGUAUUUCACUAUUUAUUUCCAAAACAAGAGCAUUUUUCAACAUAGCCAAAAAUUUAUUACUCCUAGAAAUGAAUAAUUUCUUCCUUUAAUCUAAUACCACAUCAAUAUAAAAUUUUUGCCAAUUGUUCCAACACGUAUGUCUAUAUCUCUUUCAUCUAAAUAUCUAUAUCUCUCUAUAUCUAUGUCAAUUCUCAUUUUUCAUGGUAGUUAUGCUCUAUAAAGUCACCAUGAACACUGACUUAGCAAACACUGAACUAUUGCUUUUGCUGGAGCCUCUGGUCACAACAUUUACCACCAUUUGCAUAGUAUUGGUUUGUUUGCCAGUGUCCUUAUAAAACAAGCCAGUCUCGGUAGUGUUUAAAACCUGCCUUUCUAUACAUAACUCUUUUUCUUUGUAACACUUAGAAGGUAUUUUUGUAAGUUCUUCUGCUGCCUUCUGAUCACAGAGCCUGCCUGUCCUGCAAGUUUAACAUUUUUCACGCCACAUUAUCUUUUGAAAAGUGCAAGCCAGGCCAUACUAGCUGAGAAGGGUUUUAGGUUUUCCUGACCCAGGGUAACAUAGCUGCAAAUAUCUUUGAUUCCUGGCCUCAUUACAAUGCUGCCCCCUCAACUUUUCUUAUCUGUCAUCAUCUCAUGAAUCCACAAAUUUAGCCACUUUUCCAGCGCUUCAUCACACCCUAUAGAUGUUAACUUAAGCACUUUUCAGAGCAGCCUCAUGUACAGAUCCGUAAAUUUCCUCUUCCUUUUUUGGAUGUACCAUAUUUUUGAUUCAUUAACAUUGAACUCACAACCAACAGCAUUAUAACUUAUGCAUGAAUGGAACUCAUCUAAGCCACGUUUUUGUUCGCUGUAAGGUACAUCAGUCUUCCUGCAUUUAGGACCCCAGACGGUACUCCAGUACUGCUCCUGGAAGCCAUUUUAAACAGUAAAAUCAGCAUUUAAACAGCAAAAUCAUCAAAGAAAAAGCACAAAAAUGUGAAAAACGUGACUUUAAAUAGGAAGCAGAAAGGAUGCUAGUCUACAGUGUAAGAGCUUAAUGGGAAGGCAGGCACUGCCUUGUUUGACCUUAGCUGGGAAAUGCCCGAAGGGCAACUCGAAGUUUCUGUUGCUCUGGUAUAGCUGUGAAUGAAUCAGGAAGUGCUCCAACUAUUGAUUUGGGGGUUACAAAGAAAUUUUGGCAAGUAGGUGAAUUCACAAAUAUGAAAUUUGCAAAUAAUGAGGAUAGCCUGUGUGUGUCUAUGUGUGUGUGUUUUUGCAAACUAGUUUGGCUCAAGCUUUGAUAUAGAAUGGUGUUGCACACUUGAUGAACUAUAUGAUUUGAGUGUUACUGGACAACAUUUACUCCUUUUGCAGCUCAAAUUAUGAUAUUUAAUUUUGUAAUUAAUAACGUUUAUAAAAUAUAGUGUUGUAAAUACCAUUUAUUGGCUUUUUUAAUGUUAAAAUUAACUUAAAGACAAAACACGGAUGAUCUAACGACAGUAUAAAUGUUAUAAACAGACAGUGUAAGCUCUCUCUCACAGAAAUUGAAUGAUGGAUGAGAAAGGUCAGUUAGAGAAAAGGUUAGGGAUGCAACAGCUCUCAUUUAGUCUAAUUGGGAGUCAAGAUAAUUUUUAUCGGGUAAUCAAUCAAAAAAUAUAAGCUAAACUACAUUACAAUAGUCUCCCAUUUUCAGCAAAAUCAGUUUAGAUAAUCUGACAAAUCAUCCAUCUGAACCAUUAAACAUGCUGAAUAAAAUAUACUUUUAAAAAUAUUUUUAAAUGUAUCAAUAAGUAGGGAAGAAAAUAAAUACUUAGAGCCUGAAAACUAAAUAAAAGAAUCUAACAGAGGAAAUCAGAACACUGAAGCUGACUUUUGCCUUAAAGUAUUUGUUAAAACAGGUGAACUUGGGCUAUACCAUUUCAGCCAGGCAAGAUACAGAGGAAAAUGUACAGAGACUAGAGCCAAGGAAAGUGGGGACUAUGAAGAAACAUACCCAAAGGGCUGGACCUAGGCAGUUCUGGGUUUUGCUAAGCUUAUACAAUUUUUAAGUGUGCUUUUAAGAAAAAGAAUACAUAUUUACAAAUAUAAGGUUGGUCCUAUGCAAGUAAGGGAGUCUGAAACUUAAGCUUUAUUGGCUUCAUAAAAGAGCUUCCUCUAGCUUAAGUCUACGUAGUUUGGGAGAAUUAGUGAUAAACUACCAGAGGACUUCCUUGAUAAACUAUAUUUUCUUGGUAAGUCAUAAUAUCAAACUGCUCUCCUUAAAGGUGUGAGUGGUCAAAAAAAAAAAGUUGAGCUGAGAAUUUAGAAGGGUCCCAAGUUGGUAGUGUUUCCAUUUACCUUGCAAAACCACCUUCAACCAAUGUUAGCCACAACUAGGAGAUGAUAUUUGAGUUCAAAAGAAGUGAAACAAAGAUUAGAGCACAAAAUGUGUAAAAGUAACUUCUUAAAAUAGAAAGAAAAGAAAAAUCAAAGAAACAGGAAAAGACAUCACAGAAAGGAAAUGUAAAUAGCAAAUAAAUAUAUUAAAAGAUUAUUGAUAUUAUUAUAAUUCAGGAAGAUAAGAAUUUAAGAUUUAUGCCACAACAUGAAUGAACCUUAAAAACAUUCUGUUAAGUGAAAUAAGCCAGUCACAAAAGAAUGAAUACUGUAUGAUUCCAUUUAUGUAAAAUACCCCAAAUCAUUAAAUGCAUAGAGACAGAAAGUACAAUAAUGGUUUCCAGGGUCUGCAAGGAGGGAGGAACAGGGAGUUAUUGUUUAAUCUACAUAGAGUGGGGAAAUCAAUAAAAGAACACUUAACUAAACUGGAGUUGGGAAGACUUGUAGGGAGAACUCUCACGCCCUAUCAUACAUCAUCAAUUACACCAAACAGGAGGAGCUGAACACUUGCAUCCUCAACAAGAACUAAAACUAUUUUACUACUGAAGGAAGAUUUCUCUCCCCACCCAGUCAAUGAGAAAAGCUGCAGCUCGGCCAAUGAGAAGGCCAUGCUGCCCUGAACUGUUACUUUCCCCCAAUGAACUUUCAUUUAGAACAGCCCCUCCCUACUCCCCCUUUAUCUCUAUAAAGGCACUUCCCUUCCUUUGUUUUCUGUGUUUGCCUAUGGAUUGCUAUAGCAUGAAUAUCCCAUAUUGCUAUUCCUGAAUAAACUCAUUUUGAGAUAAAAUAAUAGGCAAAUUUGCUUUUGAA